Trematomus bernacchii (emerald rockcod) is the source of this 456-nucleotide long non-coding RNA. RefSeq lists it as uncharacterized. The record is from RefSeq and is a predicted model, not a curated record. The transcript has 3 exons. NCBI's taxonomy places the organism in Eukaryota, Metazoa, Chordata, Actinopteri, Perciformes, Nototheniidae.
AGAACUCAUUAAUUUGUAAAUUAAUAUCACAUUUUCUGAACUUUCUUUAAAAAGACGUUUUGGAAAACGUAAUAAAAAUGCUUUUUUCAACGCCACGGUCAUGCCACGCCCUCAAACGAGAAUACCGCGGUGUGAGACUUCCUGUUCCUCUUUGCACUGGUUCUUCAGCAGUUGGACACGUGUUUGCGUUGGAUCCUCCUCAAACCAAUAACCAUCAUAAAACAAAAAACAGUCACACCUCCUCUGCCUCCUGCUAUGGACUUCAGGUUCACAUUAGGGAACAGCAGAGGUCGAAGUGCAACAGGCUCGUGAUGCACAGCAUGAAGUUAUACAUUGCCCAAGAGCCAGAUGUAGUUAUAACCAUCAAAUAAUAACCAUGUGUCUCCAUGUAUGUUAAUGUGUUGUGCUUUUAAACAAACUUGUUACUCUUUUAUGACAACUGUUUUGAAAUAAUCA